CAGGGAGACAACAAAAUGUUAAAUAUUAAUUUUGUCACCUUAGGUCGAUCGGUAUCUCACAUUUUUAAUUUAUUAAGAAUUUUAUUUCCUAAGUUUUUUCUAGGUCACACCCAUUAUUUUUCCUGGGCCAUUAGCUCAGGUGGUUAGAGCGCACCCCUGAUAAGGGUGAGGUCCCUGGUUCAAGUCCAGGAUGGCCCAUAUCUCUAUGUUGGGGGUAUAGCUCAGUUGGUAGAGCGCCUGCUUUGCAAGCAGGAUGUCAGCGGUUCGAGUCCGCUUACCUCCACUGAUUACCACCUCUUCCAUAUCAUUUAGAAAGGAAAUGUAUUGAGUUGUGAUCAUAUUCUGAACGAAGCUAGCUUCCUAAUGAAAUCAUUAAGAUGCUGGACUCAUUGAAUUAAUUUCAUUGUUUUCAGAGAACCUUGACAACUGCAUAGAUUAUUUUUUAAAGACAAUAAGCAUCUUUAAUGAUGCAGAUUUAUUAUUUGUGCUAAUGCAUUAAUAACAAUUCUAUUAAGCUGAUGCUUCAAUUUUGAAGUUAUU
This 540-nucleotide transfer RNA is filed under the name uncultured Prochlorococcus sp. RNAcentral describes it as "partial 16S-23S ribosomal RNA intergenic spacer". The stretch from base 211 to 283 matches the Rfam family "tRNA". The record is from RNAcentral. Lineage: Bacteria; Bacillati; Cyanobacteriota; Cyanophyceae; Synechococcales; Prochlorococcaceae.